AUUGAACGCUGGCGGCAGGCCUCACACAUGCAAGUCGAACGAGUGGCGGACGGGUGAGUAAUGUCUGGGAAACUGCCCGAUGGAGGGGGAUAACUACUGGAAACGGUAGCUAAUACCGCAUACCAUCGGAUGUGCCCGGAUGGGAUUGGCUAGUGGGUGGGGUAACGGCUCACCUAGGCGACGAUCCCUAGCUGGCCUGAGAGGAUGACCCGCCCCACUGGAACUGAUACACUGUCCAGACUCCGACGGGAGGCAUGAGUGGGGAAUAUUGCACAAUGGUCGCAAGCCUGAUGCAGCCAUGCCGCGUGUAUGAAGAAGGCCUUCGGGUUGUAAAGGCCUUCCGGCGGGGAGGCGUUACCCGCAGAAGAAGCACCGGCUAACUCCUUGCCAGCCGCCGCGGUAAUAC
Molecule: ribosomal RNA, 406 nt
Filed under: uncultured bacterium
Lineage: Bacteria
Description: partial 16S ribosomal RNA
Rfam family: Bacterial small subunit ribosomal RNA
Source: RNAcentral